AGCGAUGAAAUCAGAGGGCGUGCUAAGAGCGUUGUCUGGUGGAGCUUUCGGGAAGGGUUGCACAGCGAUACCUCGACUUAGCGUAGGCAUUUUUGCCGAAAGAAAAUGUG
Molecule: small RNA, 110 nt
Filed under: human gut metagenome
Description: drum RNA
Rfam family: drum RNA
About the family: Firmicutes, Bacteroidetes (1 example), Proteobacteria (2 examples), Spirochaetes (2 examples). Terminator (Clostridia)
Source: RNAcentral